This 663-nucleotide long non-coding RNA is filed under the name Sus scrofa (pig). RNAcentral describes it as "lncRNA (ENSSSCG00070004939.1)". Lineage: Eukaryota; Metazoa; Chordata; Mammalia; Artiodactyla; Suidae. The record is from RNAcentral.
GGUGUGAAUGACCUCAUCAACAUCCUUCCGCCUCUGAGAGAAGAGCUGCUGGAGACUCCUGGAUGUCUGGCCCAAAGCUGGAGGCUCUGAAAGGGCUGAGAGAUGAUUUGGAAGAUACCAUUUGACUGCUUUUUACUGACGUGACCAUAUGUCUACCCGGAGAUUGGAGACCUUGGACAGCUGGAGAACCCAGACCAAUGAAGACAAGAGAGCUGCUCUUUGUGUGACGCAUUUCCUCACCCAGCCGCAGAUUGCAACAGAGGAGAUGAGAUAAAGAUGAGGAACCUCAACAGAAAGGAUGGAUGUAAACAGUGGGUUUGCUGUGCAGUGACAAGAGCCCAGCUUGGGAAGCUUUUUGAGCUCCCAAGAGGAUGUAAAGGGCACAAGGUCACCUUUAUUGAACUGUUUUCCUGUUGGCCAUCCCUUCUGGGCCCCAAGUUCUGCAUUUGCAGCAUCUGGCACAGUGCUGGGCACAUCCUGAGCUUGAGAAAAGGAACCUGGGCAGGAGGAGAUAAGCCAAUAUAUCUGCCUGUUGAGCCUACAGUUAAAAAUAAUUAUAGAGAACAUGGUGAUGCUUCAGAAACUGUCAGGAUCUUUACUCUUUGUCCAGGAAGCCCUGAACUGUCAUUGGAAAUAAGAUGCCAGAACCACAGAUGUCCUUAG